This 500-nucleotide ribosomal RNA is filed under the name uncultured Glomeromycotina. RNAcentral describes it as "partial small subunit ribosomal RNA". It matches the Rfam family "Eukaryotic small subunit ribosomal RNA", at positions 591 to 1092 of the family's 1831-position model. Lineage: Eukaryota; Fungi; Glomeromycota. The record is from RNAcentral.
CCAAUAGCGUAUAUUAAAGUUGUUGCAGUUAAAAAGCUCGUAGUUGAAUUUCGGGGUUAGUAGGUUGGUCAUGCCUCUGGUAUGUACUGGUCUCACUGAUUCCUCCUUCCUGAUGAUCCGUAAUGCCAUUUAUUUGGUGUUGCGGGGAAUUUGGACUGUUACUUUGAAAAAAUUAGAGUGUUUAAAGCAAGCUAAUGCUUGAAUACAUUAGCAUGGAAUAAUGAAAUAGGACGUUCGAUCCUAUUUUGUUGGUUUCUAGGAUUGACGUAAUGAUUAAUAGGGAUAGUUGGGGGCAUUAGUAUUCAAUUGUCAGAGGUGAAAUUCUUGGAUUUAUUGAAGACUAACUACUGCGAAAGCAUUUGCCAAGGAUGUUUUCAUUAAUCAAGAACGAAAGUUAGGGGAUCGAAGACGAUCAGAUACCGUCGUAGUCUUAACCAUAAACUAUGCCGACUAGGGAUCGGAUGAUGUUAAUUUUUUAAUGACUCAUUCGGCGCCUUACG